Non-coding RNA from Acanthosepion pharaonis, 105 nucleotides. NCBI's taxonomy places the organism in Eukaryota, Metazoa, Mollusca, Cephalopoda, Sepiida, Sepiidae. The record is from the annotation of a GenBank genome assembly.
AUGGCCAUAUCAUGUAAACACGGGUUUUCAUCUGAUUACCAAAGUUAAGCAAUGUUGAGCUUGGUCAGUAACUAGAUAGGUGACUGCUUGGGAAUACCAAGUGCU